UAAGUAAGUGGUGGAAAUUAAACCAAAUGGGAUAUCUUUAGUAAUUGCGAAUGAACAAGGAUAUGCUUAGCUUGACAAAUGGAGCUAUUGGCUUUGAAUUGUAUUGUGGAAAUGUAUUACCAACAGAGGUGCAGGUGCCAGCCUAUUGAAAUAAAGCGUCAAUGAGGGUGAGAAUCCUGUUUGUCAUGUGCAGCCCUUUGUGCACGGUGUAUAUUUGCUGAGUCACACUCCUUGGCAUUGGAAUGCAAAGUGGGUGGUAAGUUUCAUGUAAAGGUAAACAUGCAAUUGAGACUGAUAGCACACAAGUACCAUGAGGGAAAUACGAAAAGGACUUUGAAAAGAGAAUUAAAUGAGUUUGUAUUUGCUGAACACAAAGUAAACAGACUUGAUUUGCUUGGUGGGAGUGUUGCACUUGCUUGACAAGAGCUUUGGGCUGUGGGUGUAAUGAUUCUUUCUUUGCAUGCCAGUUUCUAUUUGUACAUCUGAUUACCUUUGCACAUGAAUGAUAAGUCUCCUGUGGGGGGUGGAUUGCAUGUGCAUGUAAUGAUUUGUGUUUUGAUAAAUGUGUCUGGUGUAUGUGUGUGUUCCUGUGCUUGGGGAUGCUUCCUUCCUUGGACUUACAAGCCCUGACACACACAUGCUGGCAAAAUGCUUCUGCUUGACCCG
This 666-nucleotide ribosomal RNA is filed under the name Alexandrium tamarense. RNAcentral's name for it is "eukaryotic LSU rRNA". It matches the Rfam family "Eukaryotic large subunit ribosomal RNA", at positions 43 to 651 of the family's 3401-position model. Lineage: Eukaryota; Dinophyceae; Gonyaulacales; Pyrocystaceae. The record is from RNAcentral.